RNAcentral lists this non-coding RNA (207 nucleotides) under Chlorocebus sabaeus (green monkey). The record is from Rfam by way of RNAcentral. Lineage: Eukaryota; Metazoa; Chordata; Mammalia; Primates; Cercopithecidae.
GCCGGGCGUGGUGGCUCACACCUGCAAUCCCAGUACUUUGGGAGGCCGAGAUGGGCAGAUCACAAGGUCAGGAGAUCAAGACCAUCCUGGCUAACACGGUGAAACCCUGUCUCUACUCNNNNNNNNNNUUUUUUUAGUAGAGACGGGGUUUCACCGUGUUAGCCAGGAUGGUCUUGAUCUCCUGACCUCGUGAUCCGCCCGUCUCGG